This 116-nucleotide ribosomal RNA is filed under the name Bacillus vallismortis. The record is from RNAcentral. Lineage: Bacteria; Bacillati; Bacillota; Bacilli; Caryophanales; Bacillaceae.
UUUGGUGGCGAUAGCGAAGAGGUCACACCCGUUCCCAUGCCGAACACGGAAGUUAAGCUCUUCAGCGCCGAUGGUAGUCGGGGGGUUCUCCCUGUGAGAGUAGGACGCCGCCAAGC